This 1315-nucleotide ribosomal RNA is filed under the name unidentified marine bacterioplankton. RNAcentral's name for it is "partial 16S ribosomal RNA". It matches the Rfam family "Bacterial small subunit ribosomal RNA", at positions 9 to 1371 of the family's 1533-position model. The record is from RNAcentral.
GAGUUUGAUCAUGGCUCAGAACGUACGCUGGCGGCACGCCUAACACAUGCAAGUCGAACGAAGUAGCAAUACUUAGUGGCAGACGGGUGAGUAACAUGUAGGUAUCUGCCCUUUGGCCUGGAAUAACACGAGGAAACUUGUGCUAAUACCGGAUAAGUCUUUACGGAGAAAGCUUUAUGCACCAUUGGAUGAGCCUGCACUUGAUUAGUUUGUUGGUGGGGUAAUGGCCUACCAAGACUGUGAUCAAUAGCUGAUUUGAGAGGAUGAUCAGCCACAUUGGGACUGAGACACGGCCCAAACUCCUACGGGAGGCAGCAGUGGGGAAUCUUGCACAAUGGAGGAAACUCUGAUGCAGCGAUGCCGCGUGAGUGAAGAAGGCCUUUGGGUUGUAAAGCUCUUUCGUCGGGGAAGAAAAUGACUGUACCCGAAUAAGAAGGUCCGGCUAACUUCGUGCCAGCAGCCGCGGUAAUACGAAGGGACCUAGCGUAGUUCGGAAUUACUGGGCUUAAAGAGUUCGUAGGUGGUUGAAAAAGUUAGUGGUGAAAUCCCAGAGCUUAACUCUGGAACUGCCAUUAAAACUUUUCAGCUAGAGUAUGAUAGAGGAAAGCAGAAUUUCUAGUGUAGAGGUGAAAUUCGUAGAUAUUAGAAAGAAUACCAAUUGCGAAGGCAGCUUUCUGGAUCAUUACUGACACUGAGGAACGAAAGCAUGGGUAGCGAAGAGGAUUAGAUACCCUCGUAGUCCAUGCCGUAAACGAUGUGUGUUAGACGUUGGAAAUUUAUUUUCAGUGUCGCAGGGAAACCGAUAAACACACCGCCUGGGGAGUACGACCGCAAGGUUAAAACUCAAAUGAAUUGACGGGGACCCGCACAAGUAGUGGAGCAUGUGGUUUAAUUCGAAGAUACGCGCAGAACCUUACCAACACUUGACAUGUUCGUCGCGACUCUAAGAGAUUAGAGUUUUCGGUUCGGCCGGACGAAACACAGGUGCUGCAUGGCUGUCGUCAGCUCGUGUCGUGAGAUGUUGGGUUAAGUCCCGCAACGAGCGCAACCCUCACUUUUAGUUGCCAUCAUUAAGUUGGGCACUCUGAAAGAACUGCCAGUGAUAAGCUGGAGGAAGGUGGGGAUGACGUCAAGUCCUCAUGGCCCUUACGUGUUGGGCUACACACGUGCUACAAUGGUAUCUACAACAGGAAGCAAGACUGCGAAGUUAAGCAAAUCCCUAAAAGAUACCUCAGUUCGGAUUGCACUCUGCAACUCGAGUGCAUGAAGCUGGAAUUACUAGUAAUCGUGGAUCAGCGUGCCACGGUGAAUGCGU